GCACCGAAAGUGAGUAUUGGAGGAAAGCAAACUGGAAAUCUGUGUCAAAGCGUUGAUGUUUUCAGUUUGUUUUUCUCCAAUAUCUCACUUUGGGUUG
Hordeum vulgare subsp. vulgare (domesticated barley) is the source of this 97-nucleotide non-coding RNA. NCBI's taxonomy places the organism in Eukaryota, Viridiplantae, Streptophyta, Magnoliopsida, Poales, Poaceae. The record is from Rfam.